RNAcentral lists this ribosomal RNA (518 nucleotides) under Bacteroides fragilis. RNAcentral's name for it is "bacterial SSU rRNA". It matches the Rfam family "Bacterial small subunit ribosomal RNA", at positions 379 to 897 of the family's 1533-position model. Lineage: Bacteria; Pseudomonadati; Bacteroidota; Bacteroidia; Bacteroidales; Bacteroidaceae. The record is from RNAcentral.
UAGCCUGAACCAGCCAAGUAGCGUGAAGGAUGAAGGCUCUAUGGGUCGUAAACUUCUUUUAUAUAAGAAUAAAGUGCAGUAUGUAUACUGUUUUGUAUGUAUUAUAUGAAUAAGGAUCGGCUAACUCCGUGCCAGCAGCCGCGGUAAUACGGAGGAUCCGAGCGUUAUCCGGAUUUAUUGGGUUUAAAGGGAGCGUAGGUGGACUGGUAAGUCAGUUGUGAAAGUUUGCGGCUCAACCGUAAAAUUGCAGUUGAUACUGUCAGUCUUGAGUACAGUAGAGGUGGGCGGAAUUCGUGGUGUAGCGGUGAAAUGCUUAGAUAUCACGAAGAACUCCGAUUGCGAAGGCAGCUCACUGGACUGCAACUGACACUGAUGCUCGAAAGUGUGGGUAUCAAACAGGAUUAGAUACCCUGGUAGUCCACACAGUAAACGAUGAAUACUCGCUGUUUGCGAUAUACAGUAAGCGGCCAAGCGAAAGCAUUAAGUAUUCCACCUGGGGAGUACGCCGGCAACGGUGA